This is a long non-coding RNA of Olea europaea var. sylvestris, 1210 nucleotides long. RefSeq lists it as uncharacterized. Lineage: Eukaryota; Viridiplantae; Streptophyta; Magnoliopsida; Lamiales; Oleaceae. The record is from RefSeq and is a predicted model, not a curated record. The transcript has 3 exons.
UUUAAAAAUUUGGGCUUAACUUGUACAAAUUUAACUUGGGAAAAUUACAUAAUUCCAGGUGUUUAAAGAUUACAAUUCAAAGAUCAAGGUUGAAGUUUCACUAUUCAUAAAUCAGUCUCUCCCAUCUCUCCAUCACAAUCGCCGUCGAAAAUUCUUGAUUCCUCCGAGGCACACUCAAUUCUCAAGCAAUGGCACUAAGAGAGAGAGAGAGAGAAGAGAUCCGUGGGUAAGUGAAGACGGUGGCCCAUCGAAGGUCACUCUCCAGACCUCCAUGGGCUCCUUCACAGUUGAGGUGACUACUCUCUUCACACAAAUCCAUCUGUAUUAGUACAUUUUUCAUGCUCUACUGUUAUAUUUUUUUUUCCUAAUUGAUGAUACAAAAAUUCAUGAAAAUAUGGUAGAUGUACUACGACCAUGCACCCAAGACUUGCAAGAACUUCAUAGAGUUGGCUCGCAGAGGCUAUUACGAUAAUGUCAAAUUCCACAGAAUCAUUAAGAUCUCUUUGUUUGUAUAGCUAAUCGCUAUUCAUAUUUGUAUAUGUAAACAUUUCUAAUUUUGAACUGAUAAUUUUUAUGUGAUAUUGGAGUUUAGGAUUUUAUAGUGCGAGGUGGGGAUCCAACUAGGACUGGCAGGGGUGGCAAAUCAAUUUAUGGGAUUUUUAUAGAUCACCUAUUUAUGGUGUGGUGAUGGUGGUGCAGUGGAUCUAGGUAGGACGACGGUGGUGGUGAUGGUAGCGACGGUGCUUACGUUGGCAGUGAUGAUUGUGGUUGUGGUGUGUUGGAGAUGAAUGGCUGGUGACAGUGUCAAUGGCGUGGUUGAAUUGUUGGUGGUGUAGGUGCUAGCACGAUGUUGCUACAAUGAUGGUAAGUUGGUGCUUGGUUUCAAUGGUGCUGGUAGUAUUUGUGUCCAAUUAUAUAUGUUGUUCGGUUGGUGCCAUCAUGGUGGCAAUUUUGGUGGUGUGUGUUGGUUUGUUUUUGUCGGGAGGCGGCGGCGGCGACAGCGAUUGUGAUGGUGUUGUGGUCGGGGUAGUGUUUGUGACCAGGUAUUAUGGUGGAUCGGGAUUGGGUGUUUGGCGUCUGUGACCAAUUAUUUGGUCCUCUGUGACUGUAUUAAUCCUUGAUUUUAAGAUUCUAUCAUUUUGUAACUAAAAAAGUAAUCCGUGACUAUCAAAUUUAAAAAUACGUGACAUGUGACUUAUAAUUUUUUUAA